This is a long non-coding RNA of Peromyscus leucopus (white-footed mouse), 1642 nucleotides long. RefSeq lists it as uncharacterized. The transcript has 3 exons. NCBI's taxonomy places the organism in Eukaryota, Metazoa, Chordata, Mammalia, Rodentia, Cricetidae. The record is from RefSeq and is a predicted model, not a curated record.
UCCGCCAUGUAGGUCCUGGGACUCAGGUCAUCAGGCCCAGUGACAAGCCCCUUUACCCACAGAGCCACCCUGAUAGUUUAAGUAGCAUUUCUUCAUGAUGAAAUGUGGACUUGAACUCUCUCCAGAUACAGUGUUAGCCAGAGCUAUGGCUGCCUGCCGGGAGGCUUAGUUUAACCCGAUGAGCGUAACAAUUUCUACAGGUAAACAGAUGAACUGACUCUUAGGUCUGCCUCGGGCCAUUUCCGUGACCCUUGCCGGAAGUAGAGCUUUCUAGAGCCCCCAGCUCUUCCUGCUCUUCCUGAUCCCUUGCUUCUCUAAAGCUUGAGCCAGCCAUCUGGUUCUCCCCGCUGCUUUAGACAGCGCACUCUGGCAAUCCUAAUCCAGAACACAGACGAAUUCUGCACAAUGCCUAGGACAAUUUGUAUGUACAUUCUAGCACUCAACCCUACUAAAGCAAUCCUCGGAAACUCUAGGGAGUGACUUCUAGGAGAAAGGUACGGGUUAACCAGUGAGCUGACCCAGACUGACAUGUCUAAGUUUCUGGUGCAGGUAACUGAACCCAGGGCCUCCCACAUGCUGGGUAAGAGCUCAACCACUGAGCUACCCCUCCUCCCCAACCUCCAAUGAGACAGUUAAGAAGCAGAGACAUUGCCAGCCUGGUCCUCACAGUUCCAGACCAGCCAGGGUGACAUGGUGAAACCUUAUCUCAAACAAACACCCACCCAGAGACAGAAAGAAAAGUGGUGAAAAUUCAGGGGAGAGUGCGAGUCUCCUGAGCCCGCGUCAGUGGAGGUUCAAGACAGCACCAGCCUCUUCCCUGGGACAGCUUCACACACAUCUGCACACAUCCUAGCAGGCGGCAGGAUUUCCAAUCAUCGGACAUUUGAAAACUUUAACACAGAGUUUUACAGUGCACAGCUAGGCUUUGUGCAUUGACGACGAGGUGAGAGACCAGCAGGAUGAGCACGUCAGGGCACUUCCUGUUGAGCCUGAGGACCUGGAACUGACGUGGUGGGAGGAGCAAACUGACCCCUGCCACCUAAGCUGCCCUCUGGCCUCCACAGAGGCUCCCAACACACACACACACACACACACACACACAAUACGGACAAUGUCAGCGGUAAGGCGAACAGCUUCAUCAAGCCGGUCUUUCCUGCACGGGACGCUCUGGUAACAGACAUACUUGGGGACUACCACCAGCAGUGUGACCAGGUACUCGGAGUCAAGAACAAAGUCAUCUUUCUUCACGAUCUCUGCCAGGCUCCGAGUCAGCAAACUUCCCCUGGAGGAUGAGAGGAGAGUCACUGGGUCAUGAAAAUGCUUGUCUAUGCUUGGACUAUGACACAACUCUGAACAGCUCUGCACCUGACGCUACACGCGGCGGCUGACAGAUGCUCAGCGGUUGUGAGCACUUGCCGCACCAACCAUGUGGACAGAGUUCAGACACCAGCGUCCGUCCGUGUAAGGGGCUGUGCACAAUCAUGCACACGCCUAAAACCAAGAACUGAGGGGCGUGGGGACAGGGUGACCCGAGGCCCGAAGAGGGUGCCAGAAGAGGGGACCUGAUGAGUUCCUCUGCCCUCCAUGCAAAGGUGUGUGCACCAUUCACCCACACACCACACUCACACACAUGUAAAAUAAA